UGCCUAACACCUUUUUCUCUCUAAGUUUCAUUGGGUCCUUUUUAGUAUGUAUACUAUUUCUGUUUCUAUUCUAUUUUUUUGACGUAUAGACUAAUCUGUUUUAUAAUUUUUUUUUCAGUUGUUUGCUUGGUAUCCAAUGCUAGGAUUUCGGUAUUUUCGGGCUACUUUUUUCUAACAAUUUGCAGGUAGUGGUGGAGAAUAUUUUUAGCUUCUCUUUAGUUCGUGGUAGGAGUAAUAUCUGGAGGUUUUUCCUGCAGUGGUUUAUGAGGGAGAAAUUUACUUUCAUAUGAUUUGAUUUUUCAUUUUUCUUGUAUAGCGUUGAACUUCGAUGUUGAUGUUGAUUUGUUGUGCACAAACUCUGGAGUGAACUAGGAUUGUUUGUUGUAUAUUUUAUAUGGAUUGAUUGAGGUC
This is a long non-coding RNA of Olea europaea var. sylvestris, 411 nucleotides long. RefSeq lists it as uncharacterized. The transcript is spliced from 2 exons. The record is from RefSeq and is a predicted model, not a curated record. NCBI's taxonomy places the organism in Eukaryota, Viridiplantae, Streptophyta, Magnoliopsida, Lamiales, Oleaceae.